AUUGAACGCUGGCGGCACGCUUUACACAUGCAAGUCGAACGGUAACAGGCCGCAAGGUGCUGACGAGUGGCGAACGGGUGAGUAAUGCAUCGGAACGUGCCCAGUCGUGGGGGAUAACUACUCGAAAGAGUAGCUAAUACCGCAUACGAUCUAUGGAUGAAAGCGGGGGACCGUAAGGCCUCGCGCGAUUGGAGCGGCCGAUGUCAGAUUAGGUAGUUGGUGGGGUAAAGGCUCACCAAGCCAACGAUCUGUAGCUGGUCUGAGGGGACGACCAGCCACACUGGGACUGAGACACGGCCCAGACUCCUACGGGAGGCAGCAGUGGGGAAUUUUGGACAAUGGGCGCAAGCCUGAUCCAGCAAUGCCGCGUGCAGGAAGAAGGCCUUCGGGUUGUAAACUGCUUUUGUACGGAACGAAACGGCUCUGGUUAAUACCCGGGGCUAAUGACGGUACCGUAAGAAUAAGCACCGGCUAACUACGUG
This 482-nucleotide ribosomal RNA is filed under the name uncultured bacterium. RNAcentral's name for it is "partial 16S ribosomal RNA". It matches the Rfam family "Bacterial small subunit ribosomal RNA", at positions 30 to 507 of the family's 1533-position model. The record is from RNAcentral.